GAUGAACGCUGGCGGCGUGCCUAAUACAUGCAAGUCGAGCGAACGGACGAGAAGCUUGCUUCUCUGAUGUUAGCGGCGGACGGGUGAGUAACACGUGGAUAACCUACCUAUAAGACUGGGAUAACUUCGGGAAACCGUAGCUAAUACCGGAUAAUAUUUUGAACCGCAUGGUUCAAAAGUGAAAGACGGUCUUGCUGUCACUUAUAGAUGGAUCCGCGCUGCAUUAGCUAGUUGGUAAGGUAACGGCUUACCAAGGCAACGAUGCAUAGCCGACCUGAGAGGGUGAUCGGCCACACUGGAACUGAGACACGGUCCAGACUCCUACGGGAGGCAGCAGUAGGGAAUCUUCCGCAAUGGGCGAAAGCCUGACGGAGCAACGCCGCGUGAGUGAUGAAGGUCUUCGGAUCGUAAAACUCUGUUAUUAGGGAAGAACAUAUGUGUAAGUAACUGUGCACAUCUUGACGGUACCUAAUCAGAAAGCCACGGCUGACUACGUG
Molecule: ribosomal RNA, 497 nt
Filed under: uncultured bacterium
Lineage: Bacteria
Description: partial 16S ribosomal RNA
Rfam family: Bacterial small subunit ribosomal RNA
Source: RNAcentral